ACCCGUUCCCAUGCCGAACACGGUCGUUAAGCUCUUUUGCGUCGAUAGUAGUUGGGGGCUUCCCCCUGCGAGCGUAGAUCGGUGCCGGGU
Molecule: ribosomal RNA, 90 nt
Filed under: Shouchella lonarensis
Lineage: Bacteria; Bacillati; Bacillota; Bacilli; Caryophanales; Bacillaceae
Source: RNAcentral